RNAcentral lists this non-coding RNA (24 nucleotides) under Arabidopsis thaliana (thale cress). Lineage: Eukaryota; Viridiplantae; Streptophyta; Magnoliopsida; Brassicales; Brassicaceae. The record is from RNAcentral.
AUGUGGCACCACCGCACCGAAGGU